This 17854-nucleotide long non-coding RNA is filed under the name Marmota monax (woodchuck). The record is from RNAcentral. Lineage: Eukaryota; Metazoa; Chordata; Mammalia; Rodentia; Sciuridae.
CAGCAACCAGGCAAGCUUCCAAUAUUUUAAAGAUGAGUAACUGAGGCUCAGAGAGAGGACACUGCCUGCCUGGAGUCACACCAAGGUGAGUGCCAGAGGAGCGAUGGAGUGGCCACCAAAUGCCUCCCACUGAUGCUCCUUGCUCACACCUACUAGCUGUAAUCCCCAUUCAGGCUCCUUUGUCUGCUUCCUCCUCUGUGAAUAGGGCAGUGACAGUCGCCACCCCCCCCCCAUGGUACCUGAGUUAUAGAAAAUGCUCAUCACAGUAUGUGGCACUUAGCAAGGGUUUGAUCAAAGUCACCUUUACACCGUGCAUCUUGACAGUCCUAAACACUGUCACCAUGUAGAUGGUGUGCACCUGACGUUAUGUGUUGAACUUGAGCUUAUUUUGUGCUCCGCAGUGCAAAAGAUUUAUUUUGCAAUGCAAAUUAGACAGUAAUCCAAUCUUCAAUUGGCAAAGAUGUUAGUGCUGGUGAGUGUGUGGGGACACAGGAAAGAGAUGGGCAGAGUCACCCUUCACACAGUUAAUAGCAGGGGUACCCUCACUCCCCCGGGGGAGGAAUGCAAGGUGGGCUGCGCUGUCCUCUGCCACUGGGGGCAUGAAACUUGGCUUCCACCUUGGGAAGACCAACUUUGGAGUUGCACAUUAGAUGCUACAGAAAUCCUUUAGGGAUUUCGACCCCACAGUAGGCAUUCUUCAGAGAGUGGCAUUAAAAUGCAGGAAAGAAACUAAAAAAAGUCUCAUAGUUGUGUGGUCAGAUGGGGAGGAGGAGGUUUCAACUGUUCUUGGUUGCACAGUCAAUAAAAGAGUGACCUCUGAAAAGUGAACACAUUAAAAGCCAGCCUGCUGACCCUCUGGGGGUGACUCACAAACCCUCUCAAACUUACCUGCCCACCCUGCACUCAGGAUUCCAUUUCACCCUAUGACGCUUAUUGCUCCCUGCCCACCCUUUGGAUCCUUUUCAAUUGGCCCUGAAAGGAAGAUGAGCACUCUCUCCUCACAGGGCUGAUGUGUGCAAUAAGAGACAGACUUCACCUUAACGGGUUAGCUCAUAAGAAGUGGUGCUCAAGAACAGUAGCUCUUCUUGGGGAGAGUCUUCUUGGACCAGAUUCCUUUGGUAUUGGUUUGGUACUAAGGCAUAAUAAGGAUGUCUUGGGUAAGUCCUCUGAACCGCAGGUUUAUCACUUGUAAAGUGGGAGUAAUGAAGGUUGCUCAGAGUAUUCAUUGAGGAUAUAUGUAUUGCCCUUAGCAUGUCGCCUGUCACAUAGUAAGUUUUUAGCACCACAAAUGGUAGCUGUGAGUUCCUGCUAGAAUUGUUACAUCUUGGUUCCUCUCUGGGAGGUGGCUUCCUUCCACUAACCACCAUCUUUGUUGCCACCCGCUGGCCUGAUUGCUCAAGUGUGCCUGCCUCUGGGUCCAGCACUACGUUCCAGUCCCCUCCCUCUAGCAGGUGCGACGGUGAUAGACUCACUGUGAAUAGGCCUUCUGUGCUUGCCUGGGCUUGUUGGCUGGGGCUGUGUGCUGCCCUCGUUUUGCAGCUGAGGACACCGCCCUAGGACUGGGAUGUCUUGUGCAGAGUGGCGGCUCCAGGGCCUCCACCCCACUGUUGACUUUGGCAUGGAGGACUCUGGGGGAGUUCAGAGCAGCACAGAAAAAACAGUGCGGCUCUUGCCAAUUUCCUUGAGCUCUGAGGGAAAGAAACAGAAAAGCGUAACACGAGGAACAACAUGAAAAUGGGAUUGGAAGUUGCUGGAAGCCUUUGGGGCGUGCUCCAGGAGCCACAAGCUGUUCCUGUUUGGCUGCCUGGGGCUUCCUACUCUGUUGGAUGAGAGGAGGUGAGAUCUCACUGUCAGAGGGGUGGAGGCCGGUCCCUGGAGAUGGCAGAGGGAAAAGAUGGCGGAAGGCAUCUUUUACAGCGGUUUUCCUGUAUGGUGGGUAUGGAACCUUUUCUCCACCCUUCAGUUCCACUUGUGAUGAUAUCUGUGUUACUCUUUGGUGUUUGGGGAAUUAGAUUUGUUUGGGGGUGCCGAAUGUAAAUUCAAGGUUGGCAUUGAGUGUGAAAAGAAGUGGCCAAAGGGGAUUGGAUCUUAGAUGUUCCCCAAAGACCCAUGUGUUAAAGGCACGAUUGCCAGCCUGUGGCCCUGGGGAGAGGGAGGACCUUUAGGAGGUGAGGCUUAGGGCAAGCAAGUUAGGCCACUGGGGCAGGCCACUGAAGGGACCCUGGUCCCCUCCUUUUUCCCUUCUUGCUUCCUGAUGGCUCUGAGGUGAAGAGACCUCCACCACACAUUUCUACCAUGAUGUGUUAUGCCACCACAGGACCUAAUAAUUGUGGACAGGAACCUCUAAAACUGUGUGUCCAAAUAAACCUUUCCUCCUCUAAGUUAGUUUAUCUCUGGUAUUUUGUUAUGGCAACAGAAAAGUGACUAACAUAGGGACCCUGCACAUAGUGAUAACCCUUUCCUAAAAAUGCAGUGACCUGCUUACUUAUGUAGAUCUCAUUCUUCACCUGAAGUAAAGUUGAAUUAUAUUGAGAGAACAGAUUAAUGUGGGUAUGGAUUCAUAUAGAAGCUGAUUGACAUAGACCUCUCCUUCUUCCUCCCUUGCUCCCGGAAAGAAAAGCUUAAGUUGUAUAACAAGACAAAUUAAAGGUAAAGAUAUAUGGGAUCUUGCCAAAUGGGGAGGAGGGGAAAGGAAAUACAGGUUUAGAGAAGCAGAAGAAGCCGUCCAUACCUCAAGACUGAUAUUCCUUUUAUCUAAAACACAGUGCCCCCCCCCCCAAAUUCAUGGCUAGAAGCAAGAACAUUUAAUUUGUUCCUGAGUUGGCAAUUUGGCCAGGUUCAGUGGGAACAGCAUGUGUCUCCCUCCACUCAGCUGAAGUUGUUGUAAGGCUGGGGCUGGGUCUGUUCUCCUCACUCACUCGCAUGUACUGGCUGUCGGCUGGGGCUGCCCAUGUGGCCUGGACUUCCUCUUCCCCAUGUGCCGGCUGGGGUCCCAGGAUGAGCAUCUUCCCAGGGGGAGAGGGCCAGGCAGAAGCUGAGACACCCUUUCCAACCCAGCCUGGAGAGUCGCGCUGCUUUACUUUGCACCUGUCCAUUGGCAGUGAGUCACCAAGUGCGUGUCUUCUCAGGCCGCGGUUAACAAACAGACUGGGUGGCUUAACCCAUGGAAUUUAUUUCCUGUUCUGAAGGCCACCAGACUGAGCCCACGAUGUUGGUGGGGCCUCUACCCUCAGUUUGAGGAUGGCCCUCCUCACCCCGUGUCUUCACAGGAUCUCCCCUCUGUCUGUCCGUGUCCUGCUGUCUCCUCCCUAUAAGAACAUGGAUCAGACGAGAUUUAGGGCCUACCCUAAAGACCUCGUCUAAACUGACCUCUUUCAAGGUCCUGUCUCCAAAUACAGUCACAUUCUGAAGUACUAGGGAUUAGGGUUUCAAUUUAGGAAUUCGGAAAAGGACACAACUGAGCCCAUGACAUCCAGCCCAGGCCAUAUUCAAAGGGAGAGGAAUAUUAAAGAAUCUGCACAAGUAUUUUAACACAACCACCACUGGGUAAGUGGCAGGGGUUUUGACAAGUCCUGUAUGUAGUUGACAGGUCCCUAGGCUCCACCCUCUGCCAGUACCCUUGAAAGGGUGUGGAAUCUCAGAGGUCAGUGGGAUAGUGGCUUUCAGGAAAGAUCCCUCAGCCCACAGGUGCGAGCAGCACAUGGUACUAUUCACUAACAGAAGGGCCACAGGUUUUAAAAAUCAGCAUUUGAGCCAUGAAGUGACUCAAAAAGACUCUUCUCCUGUUACCCAACCUCCAAAUAAGAUACUAGAUUCUGGCAUGAACGUAGGGGCUGGAAAGGCUCUCAGAAUCAUGACUGAGAUUGAAUUUCCCACCAACCUGAUGAGUGAGGGCUUAAGAGUUAGAUUUUAUUUAACUUGAAGUAAUGUGAUGUUCCUUCCAACUGAGCUGGGGACCAAGAACACGUGGGUUAUAGUAGAAAAGAAUUAUGUCGGCUUUUCACAUGAGAUAAUGCACUCAUCCAAAAACCAUUACAGUAAGAGUUAUCAGCUAACCUCCUCUAUUCUGACAGAUUCCAGCAGCUGCAGGAAUGGUGCAUUUCCCUGAAGAGUGACUGCCAUAGAUGACUCUAUUAGUCUGUUUUUCGUUGCUCUCACAAAAUACCUGAGCCUGAUUACUUAUAAGCAAAGAGGUUAAUUUAGCUCAUGGUUAUGGAGAGUCAAGAACAUGGCACCAGCAUCUGCUCGGCUCUGGUGAUGGUCACUGGGGCAGGACACUGAAGGGUCUCUGGUCCCUUCCUUUUUCCCUUCUUGCUUCCUGAUGGCUGUGAGGUGAAGAGACCUCCACCACCAUACACUUCUACCAUAAUGUACUGUGCCACCACAGACCCAAGGCAACAGGACCUAGUAACUGUGGACAAAAUCCUCUAAAACUGUAUGUCAAAAUAAACCUUCCUUCCUUUAAGUUAAUUUAUCUCUAUUUAUCUAUUUGUUAUAGCAAUAGAAAGUUGACUAACACAUGUUAUAGCCAGAGGCUAUAGCAUGGUUGCUGGAUGCCAUCAUAGUGGGAGGAUGUGUAAGAAGGAGAGAUCAUAUGGUGACAUGGGAGGCCAGAGACAUUCCAGCAAGCCUUGUUCUUUUUGUAACUCACUCUUGCAGGAACUAACUGAGGUCCUGUGAGAAUUACAUUCAUCGCUUCUGAGUAUUCACCUCAUGGUCCGAUUACCUUGCAUUAGGAUCCACCUCUUAGAGGUCUAACUGCCUUAACACUACCACAAUGAGGACCAAGCUUCCAAUGAAAUUUGGAGGAUACAUUCAAACCACAUCUGAACUUACAGCAGAGUAGUUUUUCAAAAAUCAAAUUAAGAUGUCAUUUUUAGCAUUCAAAUGAGUGGAGAAGUGGAGGACAGUUAGGGAGAGCUCACCCUGGGGAAGACCCCUGGGCAGGGUGGAUGUGUCCAUGUACCACUCACUCUCUUUCUGUCUUGCUCUCAAGUGUCCCACAGAACCGGUCACCUCUUUUCUAUACUUCUUGAAAUGCCACCAAUAAGCAAUUUAGUUAAACUGACACAUUCCCCCGGCAGGUUGAAGGGGUGAUCGUUUUGUUCAUUAAUUCUGUACCAGGACAUUUUGGUUGACUCAGGGACUCGUUAUCUGGUCCUUUAUUGGUUCGAGGGGCUUCAGUUUCAGCUGGUUAGAGGGUGUUGUGUUGAUGGAUGGGCUCAUUGGACCUACUUUCUUAGGAGCACAGAGACAAAACCUCCCCCUUCAUCUCUCAGGGGUUCAGAGUUUUGAUAUUUGUUUGUCCACCCAGAGUCACUUCACCAUGGUUGAUUUCAGAAAGUGUGAUACGGCCCAGAAAGAUGAUUCUCCAUGAGAGAAAAAGAUAUUGAACCAACGGUGAGAUGUGAGAAUGGAUGUUAUUCGGGGUCUACAGGAUGUAUUUCUAUUAUAUAUAUUUCCUCCUGUGGGUUGGGUCUGUGGCCCAACGGUUAUGGUACCACCUAGAGCAGGGGACCAACAUGACCUUCCACCCACUCUGGUAGCCUUGGGUCAAUUCCAAGUCUCUGGCCUUAGGACAAAUUGGAUUAGUAAAUACCAUCUGAAAUGAGUCACCUCAUUGCCUAUUCUUCUCCCGUCAUGCCAGUCUCCCUAAAGCAAAAUAUUAAUAAAUGCCACUACAUAAAAAUUAAAAUGUCUUUAUGGAAGGAAGCAAAUUCCACAAAGUCAAGAGACGAACAAUAAAGUGGUCGGUGAUAUUUGUGACACAUACAAUGGACAAAGAGUUAAUUUCCUUAUUUUACAAAGAGCUCAUACAAAUCGAUAUGAAUUAAAUAUGAAAAGGCCAAUUGAAAAAUGGGCAAAGGAUAUGAAAGGCAGUUUUUCAGAAAAACAAAUGCAAAUAUCUAAUAACUUUAUGAAAAGAAGUUUGACUUUCCUCAAAUUAAAGUCAUGCAAAUCCAGAUGACAUACCGCCAUGUUUCUGCUAUCAGAUGGGCGAAAGCUUAAAAAGUCUGUUAUCUUCAGUGUUGAUGAGUGAAGGAGAAAGCAGAUAUUCUCAUUCACAGUCAUUGUGCAGAGAACUGGAUAUAAUAUUUUAGCCAAGCAUUUUGAUAAAAUGGGUGAGUAUUUCUUAUCCCUUAUGCUUGGGACUAAAGUGUUCAAAUUUUAGAUCUUUUUUUCAUAUAUGGAAUAUUUGAAGAGACUUCUCUAUUGAGUGUUUCUAAUCUAAAAAUAUAAAGUCAGAAAAGCUCCAAAACCUGAAACUUUUGAACAUCAUGUUGAUGCUCAGAAGUUUCAGAUUUUGGAACAUUUUAUAUUAUUAUGUUGGGGUGUUUUAUUUAUAUCAAUCACGAUUGUAAAUUCAUACAUUCUUUGACCCAUGAGGAAGAGUGUAAAUCAUAAUGUACACUCAUGGACAUACAAUCUAACAGUAGAUAGGAGAAUACUCACCGCAGCAGUUUGAAAGGGGACAAUGGGAAAAGGUAUCAUUGGGGAUUUUUUUAUUAUAAUUACUGAAACAUCCUUAUGAUGGAAUAUUAUACAGUCACCAAAAGAAAGUACUAAACUACAUCCAAGCUAUUGAGGGAGAAAAGUAGUACAGAAUAGCAGGCACAAAACGGUCCCAUUUAUGUGAAUGAUAUACAGUACGUAUGCAUAAAACAUUUCUGGAAAUAUUUUUAAACAUGGGGAAUGGGGAGUCAAGAAGGGAAUAAGGCAAUUUUACUUUUUGUGACAUGUAUCUCUUUUAAAUUAACUUUUUUAUCAUUUGCAUAUUUUGCAUUUAUUUACUUAGUUUCUUUUUUUUUUUUUUUUUUUGGAACUCUUCCUGUAAUACACAGCCUGUUUACAUGAGUAUGCUCCAGGUGUACCUGUACUUACUGGGUAGGGUGUUGUGUUGUCUGGCAAAAGGUCUCCCUAAGUGGGACAACAUCAGGAAAUUGCUGGCCCAAUUUAGGAGCAUCAUGUGAGAUGUUGUGGGGAGAGGGGGCCCCGGGAAGCCGAGGUCCUCUCUGAACAAGGUGGAGCAUUGUUUUAGUUAGCUUUUUCAUUGCUAAGACCAAAACACCCAAUAAGAACAACUUAGAGGAGGAAAAAUCUGGUGCUCACAAUUUCAGAGGACUCAGCUCAUAGACGGCCGACUGCAUGGCUCUGGGCCCAAGUGAGGCAGCACAUCAUGGGGGACAGGCCUGGUGGAGGAAAACUGCUCAGCUCAUGGUGGGGCCAGGAAACAGAGAGGGAAUAGGACAGGGGCCACAGGGAAGGAGCACCCUUCCAGGGUACACUCCAGGGGCCCACCUCCCUAUAGCUAUCACCCAGUCAGUCCACUCAACCUUGGAUGGAUUGGUUAAAGUUACAACUCUUGCAACCUAAUCAUUUCACUUCUGAAUAUUUCUCUAUUAACAGGAUCUGUGGGGCCCCCCUCAUAUCCAGACCAUAAUGAACACAAGUCAGUGAACCAUCUGGAUUAGUACUGAAAUUUCUUGGUUUUUAUGGACUGGUGGGAUCUAGAAAAGCUUGGACCUCAAGGAUAAAAGUUAUCUCUCCAGCCCUCCAGUCACUGCCCAGUUCUGGUGAAAGUUUUAAGUAGAAUUGCUCCUAAACAAGCUGGGGCUGAAGAUAAAUAUGUUGUCCAUCAGUGGAAGGAAGCAGGACUUGGAAAAUAUUAGUUUGUGAGCACAAAACCCCAAAGAUAAAAGACCAGUUCUUGGAUUUUAUAGACAUCUUGGGAUUUAUUUUCUAAACAGUUGUGCUGGCCUGCACAGAGACAGGAUGAUUGGGUCUUGUAGUGAGAUUCUACAAGACGACAUCUCAGAAUGCAGAGAUUUGGCUUCAGAUUGCUUUUCCAGCAAGAAAAGUGAAGCCCCAUCCUGUUGGCGAUUCAUCUUGCAGUUGUGGAUUGAAGUCGCUGAAGAAGUUGCAUUUAUAUGAAACAUCCUAAAGACUACUCUAUCUUGGAUGGUGAUUGUGGAGAGAUAGAAUGCUGCAGGUUAAGAGACAAAAUUUUCUUGGACUAUCUUAACUCCUUGAAUAGCCAUUUACCUUAACUUAAAAAAAAAAAAAAAAACUAAUCCCACAUUCUUGUAAAUAAUAGAUGAGCUUCUAAGAAUAUAUCUCUAUAUGCAAACCUCCAGUGCCCACUUACCCUAAAGCUAAGGCUGUUGAAAGAUUCCAUCUGAAACCAUAGAAGAGAUGCUCUCCUUUCUGUAGCCCCCCACCUCAAGCUCCUACCAGUGUAAUUGGUCAGUUUAUUAAUUGAUUGAUGACCUUUUUUGAUGAUUAAAGUUCAUGUAACUUUUAUAAGUUCUUCCAUGAUGGCCCAUACAUUCAGGAAACUUGAAACCAUCUUCCUGGGCCAUGGUAAUUUAACAUGGAAAAUUAAUAUGGUAAAUUAGCAUGGUAAUUUAACAUUUAACUCAGAAAUAAACAACUUUCUUAGUUCCUACAAAGCAGUCUUCCCUCCCUCCCUUCCUCCUCCUCCUCCUCCUCCUCGUCCUCCUCCUUCCUCCUCCUCCUCCUCCUCCUCUUCCUCCUCCUCCUCCUCUUCCUCCUCCUCCUCUUCUUCUUCUUCUUCUUCUUCUUCUUCUUCUUCUUUUCUCUCUCUCUCUCUCUCUCUCUCUCUCCCUCCCUCCCUCCCUCCCUCCCUCCCUCCCUCCCUCCCCACCUCCCUCUUUCUUCUUUGUUUGACACAGUCUCACAGCCAAAGUGUGUGGCUUCAUAGAUAGUAUAAUAGUUCCAAAUGAACUCAAGUGUUUUAGCUCCAAAUCUCAUGAACUCUCAUAAAUAACAGUUCUCAAACUUUAACAGGCAUCCGAAUUGCCUGGAAAAGAGUGUUGAAAGAAAUGGCUAUCUGGGUCCCAUCCCCAGGGUGUCUGAUUCAGUAGGGCCCAGGGUGGGAUUCAGAAUUUGUAAGUUCUCAAAUGACACUGUUGGGUCUUAUGAACACACGUGGAGAACUUCUGGUUUAUAAAUAUACUUCACCAAUUUUUUCCCCUCUCUCAUCGACAAUGCGCACAUCCUUCAGUCUCAUGCUCACCUAACAACCUGCCUAAAAGACAUCUUUAAUGAUCACUGAGACUUGAAUCCCCUUCUCCUUUUCCUAACACCAAAGAACUCCUUUGGCAAUGGCAGAAGCUUCCUUGAAAGGGUGUGCAGGAGAAAACACUGAACAGGCAAAACCAGGGGCCUCUUUUGCAGUCAGAGAGAGAACUGAGAAUAUCCCAGGGUUAAUUUUUGUGGUCAUCUAUCUUCCAUCAGGGUCUGGGGCACUGGUGGUAAGCAGGGAUGGGAGUGGGGGAGGGGAGGGGCUUUGGUCUCUGAAUCUCCCUGUGGCUGCUUAAGGAUGGGGGUAUCAGAGAAUCUUGGUGGCCCCAUUCCCAGAAGGAGAAAAACAGAAAUCUCCACUGUUUGUUUUUAGAAGCCAGUGGGGCCUGGCUUCCUGCAGAGCCGCUCACAGCUCUUCUUUCUUGCUUUUUAUUCUCCUCCCCUGUACCUCCUGGGGGAUGAUUCCUUUCAUCCAGGGGCUGCCUUCUGAAGCAGCACACCAGGCCACACACACAGUGAUUAUCCCAGAGGGGCCCAGGACCCCUGGGGCAGCAGGAGCAAGGGAGUAUUUUUGUUGGACAAUGAUGGAAAUUUUCUUUUUCCUCUCCAUUUCCCUAGUGGAAAAUAUAAGAAGACAGGAAAGAAGGGAGGAAGGAGGAAGGAAGUCAAGAGAGAAAGAAUCAGGUUCAGAGUGUAGAUAGGGGGUAGGGCUUGAACAUACCCUGUUUAAAAAAAUGAUCCCUCCUCCUUCUCUGGGCAAUACUAAUCUCCUAGGUAAAGUAGCUUUUGCUCAAAUUUAAAAGUACUUUUCUAAAAAACAAAAUCCAAAACAAAACUAAAAAAAAAGGAGACUCAGCCCAGCUGUUAAACCAGUGGUUUCACAGAGCAGUGUUUCUUACAUCUUGAGGCCUAAAGGAGUCCUCAUUGUUUUGAAGAUAGCCCUUUAUCCAACACAGGCGAGAAGCCUGAAACUGGAGGUAAAACUUUCUAAGACAGAAAAUAUUUAUUCUGUGGUGCUGACCAAGGCCAUCCACUGCAGAGAGCUGGGUUGCUGCAGGAAGACCCACAUUAUAAGCCAGGUCCUACUGCCUACCAGCUCUCAAGGGGAUUUCUAAGGAAGUGUACUCUUCACUCAAUCAACAAGCAUUUAUUGAGCACCAACUCUUGUGCUGAAAUUCAAAGAUAUAGACAAUAUCAUUCUGUUCCCAGGGGAUUUGAAGUUCAAUAGAAGAGAUGGAUAAAUCUACGGAUAAUUACAAUAUAGCUAUAAGAGGGGUGGGAAACAUGUUGUGUUCCAGCAGCAUGCAAGGGGGCCGUAGCAUCAGUUUGGUUGGAAGAGGUUUCCUGGAAGAGGCUAUAGUUGAACUGAGCCUGGAACAAGGAGUGGGAGGGGUUGGGGGCCCAGAAAGAGCCUCCUAAGCAGAGAGAAUAGAAGGCAUGUGCUCCAGGGCCCUGAAAUUGCAUAAAUUACAGAGGGAAUUGCAAAUUGUGUUGGAUCACAGGGUCUCUGGGGGUGUGAUGUGGAUAGGGUCAGGUCACAGAGGCUCUGUGUACUGAGGCCAAGUUUCAAUUAACCAAAGCUGCAAAGAGAAAUUUUGCAUAAUUAGUUAUAAUAAUAAUAAUUACAAUCAUCAUCAUGAUAACUACAUUUAUUGAGCCCAUCCAUGGCUAUCAUUUAACUCUCAUAACAGCCUCAAGAGAUAGGUACUGAUAUUCCACCUGUUCAAACUGAUGAGGAAUUUGAGGCUCAGAGAGGAUCGGCAACUUGGAGAUGUGCUGGUGAGAUUCCCAACCCCAUCAGAUCCCGAAGCACCUUUUAGUGACUGAUAUUUUUUUAAAUUGCCUUAUUAAUAUGAAAUAAAAUUCAAACUGAACAGAAUCCAUUUUAGAACAUACUUAAAAUAUGUAUAAUGCCCAUCUGUAACCUAACUUAAAAAUGAAGAAAAAUAAUUUAGAAUAAAAUAAUAUGUAUUUCCAUAUGGGAGCAGUCAGACCUGACUGUUCUAGAAACAAAAUAGUCAGUGGUUGAACUUAUAUAUAGACUCACCUUAAAUGCAAAGCUGCAGAUGUAGACAGAUACCUGUGUGUUGAAGGAAUGAAGUCUACACUAUGAGCAUCGAGGCUGAUGGUAAACCCAUCGUUUUGAAAAGGUGAUGCAUCCUUGGGAAAGUUCUGAGUCACAAACUACAAAGUUCCCUCAAAGACUGAUGGCAGAACUGCAGUGUGGACCUCUAUCAGCUAAUCCAAAGUUUAGGAUGAUUGCUUCCCAUGGAGAUGACUUCAUAUCUCAGGGGCACCAGGGCCAGACUGGGAGGGGUCUGGAAGAACUCUGGGAGAGCUGGGUGUGGCUAUGCAGAGUCCCAUCUGUUCCCCCCCACCACCACUGGAGUUUGCAAUGUUGAGUUGUUUGCUUGCUUAAUACUGUAUUUUUCCCAAUGAGUGGGAUCUCUUCAGUUCUGGGCUCCUGACUGAGUUUUCCUGCUCCUGCCAUGGAGAUUUCCAAGUCUUUUGACAAGUAUGCAUCAGAACUCCAGCCCCAUCUACAAGUUCUGCUGAUGGAGCACAUAUAGCACGGCCUGUCAUACUUAAUAAGACUCCGAAAAUGACAAAUUGUUCAUCAAUUGUCCAAGCAUUUGUCAAACCUCUAUUUUGUGUGUAUGAUCUAUUGUUUCUAACAAACCACUAUAAACCUUAGUGUCCUAAAGUCCCUAAACCCUAUGGGUUGAACAAUAUGUGUUUCUCCUUGAUAUGGUGUUUGGUGGGGCACUUAUUUACCAGUUGAUCAACUAAGAGCUUUAUUUCUCCUUUAUGUAAGCCCCUCCACAUAGUUGCUUGAGUUUCCUCACAGUAUGGCUGCUGAAUUCCUGAAAGAAGCUCUCUAAGAACAGGCAGAGGCUGCAGGUCUUUGAAGGCACAGCUCUAGUGUUACACAGCACCACUUCUGCAGCUUCCUAAUGGUCAAAACAAGUCACAGGGUCAUCCCAGAUUCAAGGAGAAGUGAAAUAGACUAUAUCUUUUAGUGAUUAGUUGGAAGGAAUGUAUGGUCCUCUUUACUUCACCAGAACCUACCAUAUACCAGGCACUCCUAUCUACCUCCUCUUCAAGAACACUGAUGUUUCAUGUUAGUGAAUGUUUCUGGGUGUGUUUUGUGUAUGUACAUUUCAGAGUCAUCUUAAUACUGUGUCUAUAAAGCUUAGAAUAAUAUAUAUAUAUAUAUAUAUAUAUAUAUAUAUAUAUAUAUAUAUAUAUAAAACAUAACACAAGAAGAAGUGGUCAAUCAGCUACACAAGUAGAUAUGUACAUAGAGAGACUCUGGAUGGAAGUUCUUGAUGCCAUACGAGCCUGAAUCAGGGGCAUAAAGCCAUAACCUAGAAAAUCAGAAAAAAAUCUGAUAUAGUAACAUUCAAGCUGAGAUCUGAAGAAUCCAUGGAGCUAUUUAAGUUAUAUGUCUGCAAUGGACAUAGUAUAUCCUCAAGUAAUAUUUGUUGAGUGAGUGAAUGAAUCUUAGCCAUAUUAUGACAGUCUGAGCCAAGAAAGUCAGGGGUGCUGGAGAACAGAGAGGAUGGAGGGUUUUGGUGUGAAGUAAGUUCAGAGGAGGAUAGAUGUGCAGAUGCUGGUGUUAAGUAUGUGGGUCUUCAGCCCUCGAGUAAUGGAUUUGAAGCCAGAGCAAUUUGGUUCAGUAAGGUCUGGGCUUUGAGAAGGUCGUCUGACUGUAAUGUAGAGAAUGAAAUGUUUGGAGGCGUAGGUGGUGGGUGGGAGGAGCAGAGGUUGAAGGGAGGAGGGAGAUUGGAGGGUGCUAUGUAGUGGACCAUGAGAGUGGUGUAGGACACACCCACCAAACCACAGGGAGUUAGCAAGAACCCUGCAGAGCAAGGUCAGAACACUGGGAAAGAAAUGGCUCUUUAGUGGUGGCCACUUCCUCUACUGCCCCAGGAGACUGUGGGAAUCUCUCUAUAGACUGGACCAACCAGCAGGGCUCUGAGCCCUGGAGGUAAAUGGAGACACCCUGGAGAAAAGGCAAAGAAGUGAAGCAAGCAAAACUCGCUACCUCUCAGAGCUGCCAUUCUGCCCAGGUACUGCGGUGCCUUCUCCACCUCAGGCUCUGUAGAGGAUUAUUGAUUUCUGCUGCUGAGAAUAUAACUUUAGCACUUGCUUUCGGGCCUCUCAUUUUAUGCCGUUCUUGAGACCGUGGCUUUGAAGAUCGAUGGCUCUGAACAAGACAGAGGAGAGGAGAGCGAGAUUUCUCCACUCAAGCUUACGCUGUCUCAAGGUGGUGCAUGAAUCACUGUCAAGUCCCUGGACACAGGAGCCACAGAAAUAAGGGCCAUGCAUUUAGGAUUCCCCAUAGGUGGCCUUGCAAGAGUUUUGCAUUUAUGAUUUUUAUUGUGGAAAAUUUCAAACAUUCAAAAGUAGAAUAGUAUAGUGAAUCCCACCAUCAUCUCCAACCAUUGAUAACUCAUGGCCAAUCAUGUCUCAUCGGUAUCCACAAACUCUCUCCUCCUGCAUUGCUGAGGCCAACUCCUAGGCUCCACAUGAUUCCAUCUGUGAAUGUUUCAGCAUGAUUCUCUAUAAGAUAAGGGCUCUGCAAGAGUUAAAAAUCUUAGUGACCUAAAGUAUUAUUUUGGACAAUGAUCCAUAUAGGAUGGUGGUCCAUAAGAGUUCAGUGGAGAUGGAAAUCUCCUAUUGCCUGGUGACAUCAUAUCCAUCCUAAGGUCAAGGUCGCAGUGUAAUGCAUUACUGUUUCCAUGGUGAUGUUGUGUAAACAAACCUGUCAUGCUGCCAGUAGCAUAAAAGGGUAGCAAUAUGAUUUAAUUAUAUUGCAUAGUACAUUAAGAUUAUAUGGUACAGUAAUAAUACUUGAUAAUGAUAAUAAAUGACUAUGUUACUGGUUCAUAUAUUUAUCAUGCUAUACUAUUUUUAUUGUUAUUUUAGAGGAAUGAUUUUUACUUAUUAAAAAAAGUAAUUUUUUUUACAUUACGCUCAUAGCAGCCUCAUGCCUACCAUGUACUGCAUCUUUUGAUCAUAUCAAGAGGCCAUACAGAGCAAAAGCCUUCUAUCAUCUGGGUUUGUGUUAAGUAUACUCUGUGACAUUGACACAAUGACCAGAUCGCCUAAUGCACUUUCCAGAAUGCAUUCCUAUUGCUGAAUGAUGUGUGAUUGUGUUUGUAAUUAUGAUGUAAUUUAUGUCGUGAUUUAUUAUGGUGACUUCUUUUUUUUUUUACCAAUACAAAAGUAUUUUAAUUUUUAAAAAUAUAUAACUGAAAUUAUUAUUAAUUUUAAGAUAAAGGCACUUGGCUUCUUUUCUUUUCUGUUGCUAUUAACUUUUUUUAAAAUUUAUUUUUUAAAUACAUGACAAUAGUGGAAUGCAUUACACUCAUUAUUACCCUUAUAUAGCACAAUUUUUCGUAACUCUGUAUAUAAAGUAUGUUCAUGCCAACAUGGUGACUUCUUCAUGUUAUCAAAUAGUUAAUAGAUAUUUGUGCACUUCUCAAUCAUCUUGUAAAUGUUGUUGUUGCUUGUUUUUAUUUGUUCAAUUGAAUCAGAAUUCAUUUCUAAUGCUGAGAUCCACACCUUAAAUUGAUUUCUAGACCUCAUAGGUCCUUGGUAAUCUAUAGAGUCUCCCUAUGUCUCUCUUGUUUGGCAAGUAUUUUGUAGAAGAAAGUAGGUGGGUUGUCUGGUAAAAUUUCCCACAUCUUGAUCUUGCCGAUAACCUCUUUGUGGUGACAUUUAACAGAUACCUUGUCCCCUGUGUUUCCUGUUAAGUCCGAGUUGGAUGUUGAAUUUUGAUUAAAUUCCUAAUCAAUGUUUUCUGGCAAAGCUACUUGGUAGCCGGAGCUCUGUUCUUUCAUCAGGAGAUACACAGUGUCGACUCUCUGCAAUGGAAGCCGUCAUCGAUCAUUGCUUAGACACAUUAGUUCAUUAGGGAUUGCAAAAGGGUGAUGAACUAAUUCUACAGUCUAUCUUUAAAAAAAUAUUAUUAGCCAGAAUGCUUCCAUACAGAGAAACUUUCCGUCAUUAACUACUUGGUUAUGCUGAGGCAUUGUUCUUAUAGAUAAACAUGAUUAAUGUUCAAUUCUUUCCCUUUGUUUAACAAUUUUCCAAGUAAUGUGUUGAUUCUGUAGCAAUCUCUAAGGAUGACUAAUGAAUGUUUUUAAAUAUCAUGGAUUAAAAGAUAUUAGAUGUGGAUUUGAAAGUUAUUAAUGCUCAAGUGAUUCCAUCCUUGGCCAAAGGGAGCCUCUUCAAGUUUCCUCCGGAAUCCUUUGACACAAUCCUAGUAGUCUUUGAUGGCUUUCCUUGCUUUCUGGUGUGACAAAUUCUUCAUUGGUACAUUUCCUGCUUUGGACAUCAAAUCAGUCAUUUCUCCAAGGAGCCCCGAACUCUCUUUGAGAAAUGCAUUUAGAGAUAGCAAAUCUAGGCAAAUGAGUGCUCAAGUGUUUCUGCAUGGCUGUUUCCAGAUACUUCCUGUGAAUAGAACUAGGGAAUAUGUAUCAUGCGGAUAUGUAUCGAACAGAUAUUUUCUAUUCAAAUUCAGGAUUAUGGGAUUUUAGCCACUGUCAUCUAUCUUACAUUUGUAUUUCUUUUCUCCUAUCUUGAAAUUCCUGGUUUUCAAUGUCACCCACAAAAUCAUUCAUUUGAUUUAUAACAUGCUACACUCACAAUGGCCCCAGAAUAGUGCCAGCAUUGUCCCUAACUCGAUUAAUAAAGACAAUUUGUUUCUCCAGUUCCUUUCUUCCUGAGGAUAUAUCUUAGUAAGAAUGUACAGCCAAAUAACUAUGAUUUACACUUCAAAUAACUCCUUUGUAUUUGAUUAUAUCAAUGACUAGUUAGUUACAUUUCAUUUAACUUGGAGUUUACAGGGAGUACUUUUAAAAAUGAGAUAUAUUAAAAGAAAUCCCUGUCCUGUCUACUCAAUAGCUUCUUCUCCCUAUAAGGAACCACUUACAAAUUUAAAAUUUUUCUUUCUACUGCAUGAAUAUAAAGACAUUACGUAGAUAUAUAUAUAUAUAUAUAUAUAUAUAUAUAUAUAUAUAUAUUUAGAUAAGUUGUACUCACAACUUCUCCUUGCUUAAAAUGUAGUAUAUUAUACACAUUAUUUAACAUUUGGCUUUGUUUUAAGCUAAUAAUAUAUCCUAGAUCACACACACACACACACACACACACACACAUACAAACCGGUUUCUCUAAUCCCACCCAUGCCACUUAGCUGUGUGAUCUUGGGCAUGCAACUUAACCUUUUUGAGCUCUCUUCUCAUCUAUAACAGUAGAGCAACACUGUUUCCCUCCCAAAGUCGUCCUGGAGGUUACCUGUGUCAGCACUAACAUAGUGGGUAACACAUAGUAGGCUCUCAAAUUUUUAUAGAUGCCAUAAUAUUUAAUAAUGUUUAUGUGCCUCCCAUUUCAUUUCCUAUCAGUGUGUCACAGUGAAGCCUAAGAGGGCUGGUUGGGGAAACUAAGAGUCAUUGAAAAAGAACUCAAAGAAUUAGAAUGUUAAGACUGGCAAGAGCCCGUAGAGACCUAGGUAGUUAUCCCAGUUAUUUUACAGAGAGAAAAAUAGAGACCCAGAGAGGUGAUGUGAUAGGCCCAAAGUCAUAGGUCAGGAUGGGAAGGGUCUGCUGGGGAUGCCAGUCCAAUUAUUUUUCAAGAUCAGUUUCCUUUAAAGCCAAGCUCAUCUUCUGCACUUGUUUCUCUGCACACCACCACCAUUCUCUGUAAAAGGAGAAGCAGGGUGAGGGACAGGUCAGGGAAACUGCCUUCAAUAAGAGCUCCCUUCCUCCCUCCCCUCCUCCCUCCCCUCCUGGGGAUUCUGUGAGGAGGGCUGGUGCUGGCACUGAUCCCUAUCUUUGAGUCAGGGCUCAUUAAUACACCCAGUUGGGGACUGUGGCCAUAAGCAAGUUCUAGAAACAGCUUCUUGCCCUCAGGGGGCUUUCAAGCUAUUAAAACAACUUCAAGCUCAUUUAAAAACCAAAUAUGGCUGUAAAAAUAUAUGUCAGUGUUUAAAAUAGUAAUGAGUUUGAGUGGCAUUAUCUUAUUUUCAUUACCACAACCCUAGGAGACUGCCAGUAUUAUUGCUUUCUCUCUUAUAUAUCAGGAAGAGAAAAAAAAAAGGCUUAAGUAGAUACUGCAGCUUUCUCAAAGUCAUGCAGCUGAUGAGCAGCAAAACUGGAUUUGGGUUUGGGUCUGACUCCGACUUCCAUGCUGCUGAUCAGAUGCCAAGGGGACGAUGGAACAUUUUCACUUCCACUUGUUUGAGACAAAGAGAAGGAAAUAAACAGGGUAUUCUGGGGUAGUGUGAGGUCGUUCCAUGUUUAAUUCAUCCAUUCAUUCAUCCCUUCAUGCAUUCUUGCCCUAAAAAUCUAAACUUUAAAGACUGUCUGGGUUUGGGGGUGGGGAUGUGCUCAAGCGGUAACGCGCUCGCCAGGCAUGUGUGGGGCGCUGGGUUCGAUCUUCAGCACCACAUAAAGUAAAGAUGUUGUGUCCACCUAAAACUGAAAAAUAAAUAUUAAAAAAAUUCUCUCUCUCUCUCUCUCUCUCUCUCUUUCUUUAAAAAAAAAAAGACUGUCUGGUUUGAAUCCUGGCACUAUCCCUUACUAGCUGAGAAGGUAACUUAUCUUCUCUGUGUCUCAGUUUCCUCAUCAGUGUGAUGGGGAUAAUUGUACCCACUUUAUGGGCUGUUCUGAGAUUUUAAUGAGUUCAUACAUUAAAGCAGUUAAAAAUGUGCCAUAACCCACUUGUAUCAAAUGUAUGAAAUAUGAUAUGUCAAGAACUAUGUAAUGUUUUGAACAACCAAUAAUAAAAAUUUAAAAAAAUA